RNAcentral lists this ribosomal RNA (1276 nucleotides) under Clostridioides difficile. Its description in RNAcentral is "bacterial LSU rRNA". It matches the Rfam family "Bacterial large subunit ribosomal RNA", at positions 1 to 1288 of the family's 2925-position model. The record is from RNAcentral. Lineage: Bacteria; Bacillati; Bacillota; Clostridia; Peptostreptococcales; Peptostreptococcaceae.
UGGUCAAGUUAUUAAGGGUGCAGGGCGGAUGCCUUGGCACUAGGAGCCGAUGAAGGACGUGAUAAGCUGCGAUAAGCUUCGGGGAGUUGCACGUAAACUUUGAUCCGAAGAUUUCCGAAUGAGGAAACUCACUUAGAGUAAUGUCUAAGUAUCAUUAAGUGAAUACAUAGCUUAAUGAGGGGAACUCAGGGAACUGAAACAUCUAAGUACCUGAAGGAAGAGAAAGAAAUUCGAUUCCGUAAGUAGCGGCGAGCGAACGCGGAUUAGCCCAAACCAAUAAAGUUUUCUUUAUUGGGGUUGCGGACAUAUCAUAACGAAGAGGUAUCGUAAUUGAAGAGGUUUGGAAAGACCCACCACAGAAGGUAAUAGUCCUGUAUGUUAAACGAGAAGACUUUAGAUAUGAUCCAGAGUACCACGGGACACGUGAAACCCUGUGGGAAGCAGGAGGGACCACCCUCCAAGGCUAAAUACUACCUAGUGACCGAUAGCGUAUAGUACCGUGAGGGAAAGGUGAAAAGAACCCCGGGAGGGGAGUGAAAUAGAACCUGAAACCCUGCACUUACAAGCUGUGGAAGCACAUUUCUUGUGUGACCGCGUACUUUUUGUAGAACGGGCCAACGAGUUACGUUAAGUAGCAAGGUUAAGCACUUAAGGUGCGGAGCCGUAGCGAAAGCGAGUUUUAACUGAGCGUUCAGUUACUUGACGUAGACCCGAAACCGGGCGACCUACCCAUGAGCAGGAUGAAGCGAAAGUAAAAUUUCGUGGAGGUCCGAACCCACGAGCGUUGAAAAGCUCGGGGAUGACUUGUGGGUAGCGGUGAAAUUCCAAUCGAGCCCGGAGAUAGCUGGUUCUCCCCGAAAUAGCUUUAGGGCUAGCCUCAAGGUGAGAGAUACGGAGGUAGAGCACUGAAUGUCCUAGGGGGUAUUGCACCUACCGAAGACUAUCAAACUCCGAAUGCCGUCAUCUUAUACUUGGGAGUCAGACUGUGGGUGAUAAGAUUCAUAGUCGAAAGGGCAACAGCCCAGAUCGUCAGCUAAGGUCCCUAAAUGUAAGUUAAGUGGUAAAGGAUGUGGGAUUGCACAGACAACCAGGAUGUUGGCUUAGAAGCAGCCACUCAUUCAAAGAGUGCGUAAUAGCUCACUGGUCGAGUGAUCCUGCGCCGAAGAUUUCCGGGGCUAAAACUUACUACCGAAGCUACGGCAUCAGUAAUGAUGGGUAGGGGAGCUUCCCAUACGGGUUGAAGCAUGACCGUAAGGACAUGUGGACAGUAUGGGAG